Bombus huntii is the source of this 1317-nucleotide long non-coding RNA. RefSeq lists it as uncharacterized. NCBI's taxonomy places the organism in Eukaryota, Metazoa, Arthropoda, Insecta, Hymenoptera, Apidae. The record is from RefSeq and is a predicted model, not a curated record. The transcript is spliced from 3 exons.
CUUUAAAUGACAGAUUUAAUCAGUAUUCGAUAGCUCAUAGAUGACUCGCAAUAUUUGAUUGGAAUAGUAUGUACGCAUGUACAAUGUUGUCAUUUUCAAUGUUCUCGCGAGCGUGGGUUCUGAAUUAAGUGGAUAACCCUGCAAUCCCAUUUUAAAAUAUUAUGUCGCUUCACUUUAAGGAAUAUGGGUGCUGUGCGGAUCAUUUUUUAUCCGAAAUGUUCAAAGUAAAUCCUACAAAAAAUACGAAUAGAAGGAAAAGGUUGAAGAAGAAUGCCGUGCCCGAACCAUCAAAAUAUUUCUUUAAAAAAUAAAGAAGAAACAGAAGAUGUACAAGAAAGACAGCUUGUAAUCGAAAAACAGCUGAUGAAAAAAGAAGAAGGGCAUCAACAUCACCACUACCACUACCAACAACAGCAAGUGGACGUGGUUUAUUAGUGUAGAGAGGUAAAUAUUAGUGAAUGCUUUUGGAAAAAAUACAAUGUUCCAGUUUUAUUUCUAUUAAAUGCAAAAUAGUAUAAAUUCGUACGAAAAGAAGAGGACGAAUCAAGAAGAAGAGGAUGAAUCCCGACAUCUUCGCCUGAGAAGAGGACGCUUCGUUGCAGAAGGCGAGAAUGCUGUUUCCCAUUGAUUCUUUUAUUCAUAAGAUAAGGGAAUCAAUCACUGUGAAGUCAGCCUACAAAACAAUCGUGUUCCGAAUUCUACAGUUUCUGAAGAAUCAAUUCCCCUUCAACUAUUCUGAAGGAGAACUUUCCGUUAAAGCUAAAGAAGAUCCGCGCUCGAGAAGACAUAAAAAAAAAAGAGGGCAUGCAUGUAUCAAAAGACAAAAGGAAGGGCGAAGAUCAGUUUAGAUUUUCUCAACGACAGAAAUUUAUUUAUUUCUUUUAUUUUUUUGUUAGUAAAUUAUUAUAUUCUAACAGUUUGUACUAUUUCUAACUCGGCUUUAUGUGUGUCAUCGUUCAAAAAUAUAGUAAACAAUUAAUUUCUCUUUCUCAAUUUACAAUUAGUUUCAUUAUUGCACGAUUUUAUCAUUCUUAUACUUGUCUAUCUCGGAUAGGAUAGUAGAUAUGAACUUUUCCGUAGAACCAUACAAUUAAAUGUUUCUUGUAUAACUCAAUGGAAUUUGGAAUGGAACUCAAUACGUUCUUGUCUAUGUUAGUAUGCAACCAAACAAGGCAGAUCUCUAAUUUUCUAGGUUCUUGUACAUGUUAAUGUCAAUUAAACCCAGCACUUAGCCGCAUGGUGCACAACUAGGUCCAAAAUAUAAGAAAUGUUAUAUUUUAUUUAAAUAAAAAAUAAUAUUUUUAUAAUAAAUUUAAA